GGGGGACCUUAGUACGGCGAGUGAGCGGUAAAAGCUCAAAUUUGAAAUCUGGUACUUUCAGUGCCCGAGUUGUAAUUUGUAGAAUUUGUCUUUGAUUAGGUCCUUGUCUAUGUUCCUUGGAACAGGACGUCAUAGAGGGUGAGAAUCCCGUUUGGCGAGGAUACCUUUUCUCUGUAAGACUUUUUCGAAGAGUCGAGUUGUUUGGGAAUGCAGCUCAAAGUGGGUGGUAAAUUCCAUCUAAAGCUAAAUAUUGGCGAGAGACCGAUAGCGAACAAGUACAGUGAUGGAAAGAUGAAAAGAACUUUGAAAAGAGAGUGAAAAAGUACGUGAAAUUGUUGAAAGGGAAGGGCAUUUGAUCAGACAUGGUGUUUUUUGCAUGCACUCGCCUCUCGUGGGCUUGGGCCUCUCAAAAAUUUCACUGGGCCAACAUCAAUUCUGGCAGCAGGAUAAAUCAUUAAGAAUGUAGCUACUUCGGUAGUGUUAUAGCUUUUUGGAAUACUGUUAGCCGGGAUUGAGGACUGCGCUUCGGCAAGGAUGUUGGCAUAAUGGUUAAAUGCCGCCCGUCUUGAACCACGGACCAA
Molecule: ribosomal RNA, 581 nt
Filed under: Hanseniaspora uvarum
Lineage: Eukaryota; Fungi; Ascomycota; Saccharomycetes; Saccharomycodales; Saccharomycodaceae
Description: partial large subunit ribosomal RNA
Rfam family: Eukaryotic large subunit ribosomal RNA
Source: RNAcentral